GUGAAUCAUCAAAUUUUUGAACGCAAAUUGCACUCUCCUCUGAGGGGAUGCGUGUUUGAGUGUCAGCGUAUGAAAAAUCGACAUCGUUGCUGUUGCGCGGUGGCGUUCGGCGGAAAUUGGGUCAUGUUGUAUCUUUUGGGGUUAAGCGACUUAAAAUUUUCUUUUUGUUUCGAUGGACUUUUCUAAGAUCUAUUACUUUACACGUUUAGGGUAUCGAUUUUUAUUAGGCGUUACCAUCAUAUCGGAUCGCUA
Molecule: unclassified non-coding RNA, 252 nt
Filed under: Glomus sp.
Lineage: Eukaryota; Fungi; Glomeromycota; Glomeromycetes; Glomerales; Glomeraceae
Description: partial internal transcribed spacer 2
Source: RNAcentral